CGCGUAGGCGGUUUUGUAAGUCGAAUGUGAAAGCCCCGGGCUUAACCUGGGAAUUGCGUUCGAUACUGCGAAACUAGAGUACGGUAGAGGGAAGUGGAAUUCCGGGUGUAGCGGUGAAAUGCGUAGAUAUCCGGAGGAACACCAGUGGCGAAGGCGACUUCCUGGGCCAGUACUGACGCUGAGGUGCGAAAGUGUGGGGAGCAAACA
This 207-nucleotide ribosomal RNA is filed under the name uncultured bacterium. RNAcentral describes it as "partial 16S ribosomal RNA". It matches the Rfam family "Bacterial small subunit ribosomal RNA", at positions 568 to 774 of the family's 1533-position model. The record is from RNAcentral.